CCUACGGGUGGCAGCAGUGAGGAAUAUUGGUCAAUGGCGGAGAGGCUGAACCAGCCAAGUCGCGUGAGGGAAGACGGCCCUACGGGUUGUAAACCUCUUUUGUCGGGGAGCAAAGCGAACCACGUGUGGUUCAUUGAGAGUACCAGAAGAAAAAGCAUAGGCUAACACCGUGCCAGCAGCCGCGGUAAUACGGGGGAUGGGAGCGUUAUCCGGAUGUAUUGGGUAUAAAGGGUGCGCAGGCGGAGGUGCAAGUCAGCGGUCAAAGUGCGGGGCUCAACCCCGUACUGCCGUUGAAACUGCAUCCCUUGAGUGCGCGAGAAGUAUGCGGAAUGCGUGGUGUAGCGGUGAAAUGCGUAGAUAUCACGAAGAACUCCGAUUGCGAAGGCAGCAUACCGGCGCGCAACUGACGCUCAUGCACGAAAGCGUGGGUAUCGAACAGGAUUAGAUACCCUGGUAGUC
This 459-nucleotide ribosomal RNA is filed under the name uncultured bacterium. RNAcentral describes it as "partial 16S ribosomal RNA". It matches the Rfam family "Bacterial small subunit ribosomal RNA", at positions 338 to 795 of the family's 1533-position model. The record is from RNAcentral.